This 74-nucleotide transfer RNA is filed under the name Planctomyces sp. SH-PL62. RNAcentral describes it as "tRNA-Ala". It matches the Rfam family "tRNA". From Rfam's summary of the family: Transfer RNA (tRNA) molecules are approximately 80 nucleotides in length. The record is from RNAcentral. Lineage: Bacteria; Pseudomonadati; Planctomycetota; Planctomycetia; Planctomycetales; Planctomycetaceae.
GGGGGAUUAGCUCAGCUGGGAGAGCGCUUGCAUGGCAUGCAAGAGGUCAAGGGUUCAAAUCCCUUAUCCUCCAC